AGCUUUGCGCAGUGGCAGUAUCGUAGCCAAUGAGGUUUAUCCGAGGCGUGAUUAUUGCUAAUAGAAAAUGUAUUUGUAUAAUAUAAAGAUUAAAAUAUAUGGAAAUAAACAGUCUCUUUCUCAGAAACAUACUUUA
Small nuclear RNA from Panthera leo (lion), 136 nucleotides. Its record names the gene U4. It matches the Rfam family "U4 spliceosomal RNA". From Rfam's summary of the family: U4 small nuclear RNA (U4 snRNA) is a component of the major U2-dependent spliceosome. The record is from Ensembl. NCBI's taxonomy places the organism in Eukaryota, Metazoa, Chordata, Mammalia, Carnivora, Felidae.